ACCAGGUCUUGUACAUCCCGAUGCUAUUUCUAGAGAUAGAAAGUUACUUCGGUACAUCGGUGACAGGUGGUGCAUGGUUGUCGUCAGCUCGUGUCGUGAGAUGUUGGGUUAAGUCCCGCAACGAGCGCAACCCCUAUUGUUAGUUGCCAUCAUUCAGUUUGGGCACUCUAGCGAGACUGCCGGUAAUAAACCGGAGGAAGGUGGGGAUGACGUCAAAUCAUCAUGCCCCUUAUGACCUGGGCUACACACGUGCUACAAUGGUUGGUACAACGAGUUGCGAGUCGGUGGCGGCGAGCUAAUCUCUUAAAGCCAAUCUCAGUUCGGAUUGUAGGCUGCAACUCGCCUACAUGAAGUCGGAAUCGCUAGUAAUCGCGGAUCAGCACGCCGCGGUGAAUACGUUCCCGGGCCUU
This 410-nucleotide ribosomal RNA is filed under the name uncultured Streptococcus sp. RNAcentral describes it as "bacterial SSU rRNA". It matches the Rfam family "Bacterial small subunit ribosomal RNA", at positions 973 to 1382 of the family's 1533-position model. Lineage: Bacteria; Bacillati; Bacillota; Bacilli; Lactobacillales; Streptococcaceae. The record is from RNAcentral.